RNAcentral lists this ribosomal RNA (440 nucleotides) under uncultured bacterium. RNAcentral's name for it is "partial 16S ribosomal RNA". It matches the Rfam family "Bacterial small subunit ribosomal RNA", at positions 338 to 795 of the family's 1533-position model. The record is from RNAcentral.
CCUACGGGUGGCAGCAGUGGGGAAUAUUGCACAAUGGGGGAAACCCUGAUGCAGCGACGCCGCGUGAGUGAAGAAGUAUCUCGGUAUGUAAAGCUCUAUCAGCAGGGAAGAAAAUGACGGUACCUGACUAAGAAGCCACGGCUAACUACGUGCCAGCAGCCGCGGUAAUACGUAGGGGGCAAGCGUUAUCCGGAUUUACUGGGUGUAAAGGGGGCGUAGACGGUGCAGCAAGUCUGAUGUGAAAGGUCGGGGGCCAACCCCGGGACUGCAGUGGAAACUGUUGAACUGGAGUACAGGAGAGGUAAGCGGAAUUCCUGGUGUAGCGGUGAAAUGCGUAGAUAUUAGGAGGAACACCAGUGGCGAAGGCGGCUUACUGGACUGUAACUGACGUUGAGGCUCGAAAGCGUGGGGAGCAAACAGGAUUAGAUACCCCUGUAGUC